UUCAAUACUGUUAUUGCAACGGUGUGCACUUUUCUCUUAGUAAGACGUUGUGAUCCAUUAGGAAUCGAUUGUGCAUCUAAUGUUGUGCAAUCAAUAGGCUACCAAUAGGCGCUGGUAUUGAAGUUCAUUUUGGCAAAUAGCAACAUCCUUUGGUGGUGCAUAUUGCCUUGUGAACGUACUGUGUUCUGAUGUAGCUGCCUGAUGGGUUUUACAGGCCACAUGAUUGAUGCUUGCAUCACCCGACUUCGGUUGGGAAACAUGUGUGCCCGAUCAACAACGGUUUCAUUUGGGAUACCUUUGGGACCCGUCUUGAAACACGGACCAAGGAGUCUAUCUAGUAUGCGAGUAAAUGGGCCAUGAAAACCUAUUUGCGUAAAUAACUUGACUGUAAUUUAAUGGGAUUACGUGCGUUACUUUUUGUGCGCGCCUCCAUCCCGGGGUAUUUUCAUCAUUUAUGUGGGGGCAACUCUACAUAAAGAAAAUAUACCAUGAGCAUACUGGACAUGACCCGAAAGAUGGUGAACUAUGCCUGAUCAGGUUGAAGUCAGGGGAAACCCUGAUGGAGGACCGAAGCAAUUCUGACGUGCAAAUCG
Molecule: ribosomal RNA, 593 nt
Filed under: Coronapelopia quadridentata
Lineage: Eukaryota; Metazoa; Arthropoda; Insecta; Diptera; Chironomidae
Description: partial large subunit ribosomal RNA
Rfam family: Eukaryotic large subunit ribosomal RNA
Source: RNAcentral